GGCUGAUCUGAGUGCAGUGGUGUUUACAAUUUGACCAGUUACAGAUUUCUUUAUUACUUCUCACUCCCACUGCUUCACUUGACUAGCCUAAA
RNAcentral lists this Y RNA (92 nucleotides) under Aotus nancymaae (Ma's night monkey). RNAcentral's name for it is "Y RNA (ENSANAG00000001781.1)". It matches the Rfam family "Y RNA". Rfam says of the family: Y RNAs are components of the Ro ribonucleoprotein particle (Ro RNP), in association with Ro60 and La proteins. The record is from Rfam by way of RNAcentral. Lineage: Eukaryota; Metazoa; Chordata; Mammalia; Primates; Aotidae.